UCUAAGAUGUGUUCCACUUCUUGAAAAACUAGAUAGUGCAACAAGCUUAGUCCUGUGAGAGGUGGCCAGCUGUGGUAAUAAUUAAACAUUGGAGCAGGAUGCAUUUGAAGCCAAAUGAGGCAACAUUAAAGGUUUAACAAAUAGUCGGGUUAAGGAAAACUUAUUAUCUCCUAAUAAUAGAUAUAGCAUCUCCAUGCUUUCCAAUUUCAUUUCAGGUUUACCAUCUUAUGUUACUGUUAGUUUCUUUUACGCAGCUCAGUUUACCUUCGAAUAGUGUCGAUAAACUUCAUGUGUACACUCUCACCUACUCAUGUCAUCCUGUUUUUUUAAUUUGUGAUUCAGAGUUCAACUCAUGGCAUGGAAUCAGUGCAUCAAAUUCAAAGCUUUCUCUGUUUGAGCAGUGGCUUCGAAAUCAAAAAGUAGACCUUUUUUUCCUUUUCUUUUAGUGAAGUGUUAGGGCUUUAGAGAAUUUGAUAAUCAGGAAGUUUAGAUAAUUAGACAUUAGUACUACAUUUCCUAAUUUGAUGCAUUUUCAUCAUAAGUGUACACAGCUGUCCAGAAUUGGAACCUCGCCUUUAUAUGCAUCCGCAGAAACAGAAAAACGCGCGGAACUAUAACUCAAAUCUAACAAAAUGGCGCAUUGACAGUAAAAAAAUCAAACAACAAAGAGAGGCGGCUUGAGCAAACCGUUCAGAGUAAGCUAACAGAGACGAAAAUGAAGAAAAGGAAACAAACAAGUAACAAUUUCAUCUGUAAUUCAGCCAAUUGUAUGUAAAAAGACACAAAAUUCAGAAAGUUUCCGGAUCCAAAAAGGCGCAUCUAUAUAGAUAUCAAGUGCUUGAUACGCAAAAACAACAAAUCCGCCAUCGCGUCACAUGCAGAAGAAAAAGGGAAAAAAAAGGUGAAAAUGACCUUGUAACAGCAUUUCGGCGACGCAUAUUAGGGUAUUUGGACGGUCCGUUGCGGUUAAGGACGAAGAGGAUCUGAAGAUAAGGUCGUUAAAGGUAACAGUAGAACGCCGUUUAGCUUCAUAUUGUCAUACAAGUCACGAGUAGGGGAGCGAAGGUGUGAAAGGAUUUGGCUUUUGGUUCGGGAAGACCAAAUCGCGCUCUAAAGUACAAAAGAUAGACACCAUUAACAGCUGCAUCCACUUUCUUCUCUCUUUCUCUCUCUACUCCUUCCGCCAUGUGCGUGAGUGACACUAUAUACUGUUUACCCACUUAGCAUUUGUUUGUCUGUUUCUUCAAUUUUACACUGCCCAAUUAUAUUUUUAAAAAUAUAUUUACCGCUUGCUUCCAUUUUUUU
Molecule: long non-coding RNA, 1305 nt
Filed under: Nicotiana benthamiana
Lineage: Eukaryota; Viridiplantae; Streptophyta; Magnoliopsida; Solanales; Solanaceae
Description: long non-coding RNA (NBEN_LNC020223)
Source: RNAcentral